RNAcentral lists this ribosomal RNA (463 nucleotides) under uncultured bacterium. RNAcentral describes it as "bacterial SSU rRNA". It matches the Rfam family "Bacterial small subunit ribosomal RNA", at positions 1 to 507 of the family's 1533-position model. The record is from RNAcentral.
AGUAGUCACGUAGUUGAUCCUGGCUCAAGAACGAACGCUGGCGGCAUGCCUAACACAUGCAAGUCGAACGAGACCUUCGGGUCUAGUGGCGCACGGGUGCGUAACGCGUGGGAACCUGCCUUUAGGUUCGGAAUAACUCAGAGAAAUUUGAGCUAAUACCGGAUAAUGUCUUCGGACCAAAGAUUUAUCGCCUUUAGAUGGGCCCGCGUUGGAUUAGCUAGUUGGUGGGGUAAAGGCCUACCAAGGCGACGAUCCAUAGCUGGUCUGAGAGGAUGAUCAGCCACACUGGGACUGAGACACGGCCCAGACUCCUACGGGAGGCAGCAGUGGGGGAAUAUUGGACAAUGGGCGAAAGCCUGAUCCAGCAAUGCCGCGUGAGUGAUGAAGGCCUUAGGGUUGUAAAGCUCUUUUGUCCGGGAAGAUAAUGACUGUACCGGAAGAAUAAGCCCCGGCUAACUUCGUG